UCCAGCUUCUUUCUCCCCAUAUCAACUAUGCAGCUUGCAGUUAACAUGAAUGACCUUCCCAAUAUUACAGGAAUGUCAGUAUCUUCACAAAUAUCCAUUACCACAAAGUCUGCCGAGAAGAUAAAAUGUUUUACUCUGACCAGCACAUCUUCAAUUACUCCAUAUGGUCUGGUAAUAGAGCGUUCAACAAGUUGUAAAGUCAUCCUAGUGGACAUGAUCUCCAACUCUCCCAACCUUCUGCACAUGGAGAGUGGCAUUAAGUUAAUACUGGCUCCCAGGUCAAU
This 284-nucleotide long non-coding RNA is filed under the name Glycine max (soybean). RNAcentral's name for it is "long non-coding RNA (GMAX_LNC001015)". Lineage: Eukaryota; Viridiplantae; Streptophyta; Magnoliopsida; Fabales; Fabaceae. The record is from RNAcentral.